UUUGGAAAGGAACACAAUCUUGUGUCAAAAGAAAAUUAAAGUAAUUUGUGAAGCGCACGAUUUUUAAAUGAUCUUUUGUUUUAUUAAUCAACGAAAUUUAUUUUGUAAAAUAGAUCUAUUAAAGGAAAAGGUAUUGAACAUUAUUCCAGCUAUAUCCGGCUCACGAAUCCUUCCUCAUCAUUACAAGCAACCGUUCUUCUAACUAAAAAUACCCGUUGUAAACAAAUAUACAAAUCUUAUGGACGUGGGGAAUAUAGAUGUAUAUAUUUGACUACAGUUAUAUUCUUGAAUUACUUCAUUUGAUAGUUGUUGAGUUUAAAUCAUUGAAGGAUAAUUCUUCUUUUGAAGGUUUGCUUAAAUAAUUUGGAAGAAAUAAGUAUUUAAGAAUUCCGUUUUAUAAGAAUUUUUUCACAACUUUAGAUUGUUAUCGAUGUGCCUUACUAUCUUAGUUUUUGAAUGAAAAAUUAAUGACGGCUCGAAUAUAAAGGGGACGGUCUUCGCUCUUUAUUCAGCAAAGAACGUAUGGAAUAGAAAGAAUUUGUACUAAAUGUGUCACCAUAAGUGCGAAGCUUUAGGGUUUUUACAUUAUAAGACAAGUUAGAUUUUUGUUUUAAAGGUGGCAUUUAGAAUAUAGACAGAUGAAGUUAAAGGGCGCAGCUCGUUUUCCUUGGCACUUUUUUACACUCAUCUCAGUACUUGUAUUAUCUUCUCAAAGCAGCUUGGUAGUACAAUUUUCUUGGAUAUUAUCCCUAUCUGAUAAAAUAAAGUUUCGCUAAUAAUUAAGCGAAGACUUACAACUUUGACGAAGCAGCACACAGAACUAAACCAGUAGAUCAUAGUGACUAUAAAAGC
This is a non-coding RNA of Schizosaccharomyces pombe (fission yeast), 852 nucleotides long. The record is from the annotation of a GenBank genome assembly. NCBI's taxonomy places the organism in Eukaryota, Fungi, Ascomycota, Schizosaccharomycetes, Schizosaccharomycetales, Schizosaccharomycetaceae.